Molecule: long non-coding RNA, 400 nt
Organism: Oncorhynchus tshawytscha (Chinook salmon)
Lineage: Eukaryota; Metazoa; Chordata; Actinopteri; Salmoniformes; Salmonidae
Source: Ensembl
GAUGGAGGAGAGGAGAGCGAUGUGUUGAUACAGGGGAGACAGAUGGACAUCUGUGGAUUAGGUGAAGGAGGGGUUGAGGUCAGGAGGAGAGGAGAGCGAUGUGUUGAUACAGGGGAGACAGAUGGACAUCUGGGUAUUAGGUGAAGGAGGGGUUGAGGUCAGGAGGUGAGGACAGAGAUGUGUUGAUACAUGGGGAGACAGAUGGACAUCUGUGGAUUAGGUGAAGGAGGGGUUGAGGUCAGGAGGUGAGGACAGAGAUGUGUUGAUACAUGGGGAGACAGAUGGACAUCUGUGGAUUAGGUGAAGGAGGGGUUGAGGUCAGGAGGUGAGGACAGCGAUGUGUUGAUACUGGGGAGACAGAUGGACAUCUGGGUAUUAGGUGAAGGAGGGGUUGAGGUCA